AGAGGGUGCGAGCGUUGUCCGGAAUCACUGGGCGUAAAGGGCGCGUAGGUGGCCUGGUAAGUAGGGGGUGAAAUCUCGAGGCUCAACUUCGAGGCUGCCUCCUAAACUGUCAGGCUCGAGCAGAGUAGAGGCAGGUGGAAUUCCCGGUGUAGCGGUGGAAUGCGUAGAGAUCGGGAAGAACAUCGGUGGCGAAGGCGGCCUGCUGGGCUCUUGCUGACACUGAUGCGCGACAGCGUGGGGAGCAAACAGGAUUAGAUACCCUGGUAGUCCACGCCGUAAACGAUGGGUACUAGGCGCCGGGGGGAGCGACCCCUUCGGUGCCGUCGCUAACGCAAUAAGUACCCCGCCUGGGGAGUACGGCCGCAAGGCUG
This 371-nucleotide ribosomal RNA is filed under the name uncultured bacterium. RNAcentral's name for it is "bacterial SSU rRNA". It matches the Rfam family "Bacterial small subunit ribosomal RNA", at positions 527 to 896 of the family's 1533-position model. The record is from RNAcentral.